This 229-nucleotide ribosomal RNA is filed under the name uncultured bacterium. RNAcentral describes it as "partial 16S ribosomal RNA". It matches the Rfam family "Bacterial small subunit ribosomal RNA", at positions 104 to 334 of the family's 1533-position model. The record is from RNAcentral.
CGGGGUGAGUAAUGCUUGGGAAUCUAGCUUAUGGAGGGGGAUAACUACGGGAAACUGUAGCUAAUACCGCGUAGUAUCGAGAGAUGAAAGUGUGGGACCUUCGGGCCACAUGCCAUAGGAUGAGCCCAAGUGGGAUUAGGUAGUUGGUGAGGUAAAGGCUCACCAAGCCGACGAUCUCUAGCCGGUCUGAGAGGAUGACCAGCCACACUGGGACUGAGACACGGCCCAG